GUUUUGAACCAAGCCCUGUGAAGGAGAGAACACAAAAAUCCCCAGUUUAGCAGCCUUAGCCUUUAUGAGAGACGCUCUGCUCUUUCACGAGAACAAACCUGUGCUUCUUCAUGCAAAGAGCGAGUGAGGAAGGUGAAAAGCAUUCCUGUUAAAUAUUCUACCCGAAUGUUUGAAACUGACAGCCACACAGAGGAAAAAACCCCACACGCCAUGUGAGGCUGUGUGAGGCUCACUGCAAAGAACGGCUUCUGUGCGAGGCAGGGGGAGAAAAGGUCACUCACAACACCCACUGCCAGUUGUAUUUUUAAACCUUUAUUAUGUCCAUUCUCAGCAGCCCAAUCCAUGACGGAGGUUCCGGUGUGUGCAGGCGGCCAGGUCUCGGCAGAAAGCGGUUCGGGUAUCUGAAGUGCUGCUGCAACCUAGAAAGCCCCACAGUGGGGACGGGAAGGGGUUAGCAGAGGAAAGGCUGCGAAGCGUCGGCUCCACGUGUGCUCCUUCGCAAACGUCAGAGCCAUAUAGGUCAGGCAGGAGCCAUUUCCUCGCUGUGCCCGCUCCAUGGAGAAGCGGGGGACUGCAUUCUGUGUGAGUGUCAGCCGCGCUGCCUCCCAGCCCCAUUAAAUUAGAUAAGCCCUUCCGAAAACCGUGCAGAAAGCAAUUGCCCUUUCCUCCCCCAGCGGCGGCUUUCCUCACGCUGCCCCUGGGUGCAUCACUCCCACACCCCGGGCUCUCCUCCCGCACCGGAGUGUCAGUAAUGGGGGGCUGCCCCCCGGGGUCACCCCGAUGCCGUGCCGAGGGGCCCGCAGCCGGAGAAGGGAGCGGAGGAGAGCCACAAGGGGGCAUGGUCUGUUCUAAUUCAUAAAAUGCGGAUUCAUUGACAAAAACGUGGAACAAUCGGUGAAUGGUGUGUGUGCAUAAGUUAAUGCUGCUGGGGAAGGCACUUCGGUGACGGUGGAGCUGGGCGGUGGGGCUCACUCUCGGGGACACUGAGAGGUACGGCGGGGCAAUGCUGUCCUAAAAUGCACCCGUGGCUGCCCCUCCAGCUUUCUUGCUUAUGUGGGGAGCGCUGGUGGGGGGAAGGCAGAGAGGCGAAUUCUGACUCUGGACUCUGCUGAAAAUAAGGACAGCAGCAACGCCAGAGCUGGGGGUGCUACAGCCGUAGUCACAGGCUCCAGCCUGAGCCAGCUCUGCUGAUGCCUGGGGGUUCUUUUAAGGUUUUGUAGCUAAUGUGCUCAGCUGCCAAACAUUUUUAAUUCCUCUGCUAGACAAGAUGGGAAUGGAGCCUGAUGGCUAAGAAGAAUAUUUGCA
RNAcentral lists this long non-coding RNA (1305 nucleotides) under Phasianus colchicus (ring-necked pheasant). RNAcentral's name for it is "lncRNA (ENSPCLG00000005537.1)". The record is from RNAcentral. Lineage: Eukaryota; Metazoa; Chordata; Aves; Galliformes; Phasianidae.